AUAAAUAUAUCGACGAAUGGUUUAUGUCAUAGAAAUGGCUAAGGAAUGUAGCAUAAAACCUAAGUUUCUGUAGGUCCAAUGGUUGUGGAUCGCAUAGGGCAUGUCUCUAGUAGACUAGCAAUACUGUGUUUAGAUUCCAUAUGCUCUUAUAAUCCUUCAAGUACUCAUUAGAAAAGGUAGAACCUAUACCUUCUAUCUUUAAUAGUGACGAUCAAACACUUCAUCUUCUUUAUCUCUUUUAGUGCGCAUUACAUACGAUAUCAAUUACCAUUUAACCUCAUUUAUCUGCUAAUGUUCUCGUAGUCAAUGGAUAAACCAUUUUUUAUCUUCCAUAAAAAGAAUCUAUGGAUAAAC
This 354-nucleotide long non-coding RNA is filed under the name Brassica rapa (field mustard). RNAcentral's name for it is "long non-coding RNA (BRAP_LNC006186)". The record is from RNAcentral. Lineage: Eukaryota; Viridiplantae; Streptophyta; Magnoliopsida; Brassicales; Brassicaceae.